GGGUCCGCGUUUCAUUAGCUAGUUGGUAGGGUAAUGGCCUACCAAGGCAACGAUGAGUAGCUGGUCUGAGAGGAUGAUCAGCCACACUGGAACUGAAACACGGUCCAGACUCCUACGGGAGGCAGCAGUGGGGAAUAUUGCGCAAUGGGCGAAAGCCUGACGCAGCAACGCCGUGUGAGGGAUGAAGGCUUUCGGGCCGUAAACCUCUGUCGGAAGGGAAGAACGGGCAAGGGUCCAAUAGGCCCUUGUUUUGACGGUACCUUUAGAGGAAGCACCGGCUAACUCCGUGCCAGCAGCCGCGGUAAUACGGAGGGUGCAAGCGUUAUUCGGAAUUACUGGGCGUAAAGCGCACGUAGGCCGCUUUGUAAGUCAGGGGUGAAAUCCCACGGCUCAACCGUGGAACUGCCCUUGAAACUGCAGAGCUUGAAUCCUGGAGAGGGUGGCGGAAUUCCUGGUGUAGGAGUGAAAUCCGUAGAUAUCAGGAGGAACACCGGUGGCGAAGGCGGCCACCUGGACAGGUAUUGACGCUGAGGUGCGAAAGUGUGGGGAGCAAACAGGAUUAGAUACCCUGGUAGUCCACACCGUAAACGAUGGACGCUAGAUGCCGGAG
This 610-nucleotide ribosomal RNA is filed under the name uncultured delta proteobacterium. RNAcentral's name for it is "bacterial SSU rRNA". It matches the Rfam family "Bacterial small subunit ribosomal RNA", at positions 227 to 828 of the family's 1533-position model. Lineage: Bacteria; Deltaproteobacteria. The record is from RNAcentral.